GCCGGGAUGGUUUGAUUGGUUAAGGCGUCGCCCCGGACAGGCGAAGGUUGCGGGUUCAAUCCCCGCUCCUGGCC
Molecule: transfer RNA, 74 nt
Filed under: Ixodes scapularis (black-legged tick)
Lineage: Eukaryota; Metazoa; Arthropoda; Arachnida; Ixodida; Ixodidae
Description: tRNA-Ser for anticodon GGA
Rfam family: tRNA
About the family: Transfer RNA (tRNA) molecules are approximately 80 nucleotides in length.
Source: RNAcentral